UUCUUCCUCGUCUCCCUUCGUCAUCUUCUUGUUCUUGGCGAUCUCCCAAAUGGAAACCCUAUUCGAUCCUCCCCAUUUCCCGGUUCUUUCCGUGCGCCCACCCUCACCGCCAUGAGAAGGAGAUCGUUCCACUCCACUUCUGUCGCAUCUUCAUCUUCCCCCCACCUCGAUCCUCCUGCAAACCCUCACCCCCGCCAAACCCUAGAUCGGAUUCGGAUCCUAUGGCACCGAAUCCGCGCGCUCCUUGAAGUCCUGUUGGCACUCCGUAAAAUCGUUAUCGCAACGACAGAGGUCCAGCUAAAAGGGAGAUACCAAGGCCACAAAUAUGGAAUCAAUGAUGCCAGAAGCAUGUGAUGCAACCCCAGAAAGAUUAUGUGGCAGGAUUAUUUCUCUCCAUUUGUACACUCAGCUACCAACACAAAGGACUUUGGCUUUGCGUCCGAGGAUUGAUCGAAGCCAUUUCUGAUCACAGGCAACAUGUACGAAUGCUUGCCAUGGUGGAAAUGAUAAUGCUGCAACUAUGUAUGAUUGCUGUGGAAUGGCUGUGUCGGCAGAGAGAGAGAGAGAGAGAGGAGUAAACCUGGUCUUUUAUUGCCUUGUGGUUGCUAGUUGACAAACGAGGACGGUGACGCAGGAAUAUGCUUGCACUCGCCGAGGAGUACGACGGCGAAUAAAAGCCGCGUCUGUGGGGUCAUUCGCCACGGCGGGAGUUCCCUCCAGUCCGACCAAGAUGCGGCGCGGCUCACACGGGCGUGAGGAGAGUUGCGUCCGAGCAUGAAGACUUCGCUACUCUUUCUCUGUUGUUGCACUAACUCUUUUGUUUUGUGAAACAAAAAGAGAAUCAAUUGAUUCAACCCAUCGGGGCAGAAAAUGUUCUUCAAGGAGAGGUUAUUGGGCGUCUUGUCGAUGUCAGAUUGAGAUCGUCAGGAGGACGAGAGCUUUUUUUCUUUGGAGGACAUCAUAAAGAUUACAGAGAAAACUUCGUAUUGAUUACGCUACUAAGAGGCCCAUUUUAUAUAGAGUUAAAGAUUCGGGAGAA
Long non-coding RNA from Musa acuminata AAA Group (dessert banana), 1039 nucleotides. RefSeq lists it as uncharacterized. The transcript is spliced from 4 exons. The record is from RefSeq and is a predicted model, not a curated record. Lineage: Eukaryota; Viridiplantae; Streptophyta; Magnoliopsida; Zingiberales; Musaceae.